GACGAACGCUGGCGGCGUGCCUAAUACAUGCAAGUUGAGCGAUGAAGAUUGGUGCUUGCUCCAAUUUGAAGAGCAGCGAACGGGUGAGUAACGCGUGGGGAAUCUGCCUUUGAGCGGGGGACAACAUUUGGAAACGAAUGCUAAUACCGCAUAAUAACUUUAAACAUAAGUUUUAAGUUUGAAAGAUGCAAUUGCAUCACUCAAAGAUGAUCCCGCGUUGUAUUAGCUAGUUGGUGAGGUAAAGGCUCACCAAGGCGAUGAUACAUAGCCGACCUGAGAGGGUGAUCGGCCCCAUUGGGACUGAGACACGGCCCAAACUCCUACGGGAGGCAGCAGUAGGGAAUCUUCGGCAAUGGACGAAAGUCUGACCGAGCAACGCCGCGUGAGUGAAGAAGGUUUUCGGAUCGUAAAACUCUGUUGGUAGAGAAGAACGUUGGUGAGAGUGGAAAGCUCAUCAAGUGACGGUAACUACCCAGAAAGGGACGGCUAACUACGUG
RNAcentral lists this ribosomal RNA (497 nucleotides) under uncultured bacterium. RNAcentral's name for it is "partial 16S ribosomal RNA". It matches the Rfam family "Bacterial small subunit ribosomal RNA", at positions 28 to 507 of the family's 1533-position model. The record is from RNAcentral.